GUUGGCUGUUAUACAAUUAUGUCAGUUAAAAAGUUAUUUAUUUAAACAGUUAAAUAAGUAGAGGUGUUUUGGUCGAGUAUGGUUCAGACUAGUCGAGUAUUGUUCAGACCUUUGGUUAAGUAUGGUUGAGACUGGAAAAAAUAGGUCGAGUACAUGUCGAGAAUGGGUUAAGACUGUUUCAGACUGGUCGAGUAAUAGUUCAGAC
Molecule: long non-coding RNA, 205 nt
Filed under: Mytilus galloprovincialis (Mediterranean mussel)
Lineage: Eukaryota; Metazoa; Mollusca; Bivalvia; Mytilida; Mytilidae
Source: RNAcentral